This 67-nucleotide transfer RNA is filed under the name Xyela sp. ZJUH_2016036. RNAcentral describes it as "tRNA-Pro". The record is from RNAcentral. Lineage: Eukaryota; Metazoa; Arthropoda; Insecta; Hymenoptera; Xyelidae.
CAGAGAAUAGUUUAAAUAAAAAUUUUAGUUUUGGAGACUUAUGAUAGAGAGUAAUCUUUUUCUCUGA